CAAGCGUGCGUCGCGUAUAUUGCUCCGUGUGGUGCGAUAAAAAUUCAUCCGGACGUGUGCACGUGUUCUUGCGCGAACUCAGCCGGUGGUGCAGUGAGCGGUCGAUCGACUCUGCAGCUUUCCCGCCGAUCGAGCAUGCCGUAUCGGCAUCGUGAAGAAAAACAAAAGUGAAACCACGUGCGUUGUUUACGUGUGUAUCCUACCUGCCACGGUCAGAGCCCAUCUGCGCGUCCUCGGGGCCAGCCACCAACGACGUUGACGCGAGGAAGCCCGGCGAGGAAACGAUUGUGUCGCUGACAAAAAGUGAAACCCCGUGAAUAGUUUUUGUAGAAUAGAGUUGCGCUUCAUACACCACGAACGCCCCCGCAGUCGACGAGAGGGAUUGCACUGCACCAGUGGACAGGUUGUGUGUCCAUCAGCAUCAGCCGCCGUCCCGGGACGUCAAGGGGAGGGAGCAAAAGUGCUGCGCUUUUCUGACAGCCCGAAAAGCGGGCCGCUUUGUGCCGACGCUGCGUGAGAUCGUCGUCGGCGCUUCGCGAAUCAAAUCGUCAGGGUCGAACGGCGUGGCCCGGGCCGCGUUGUCAGUCGUCCCGUGGCAGUUGAACUCAUCGGCGCCUACCGUCGCAUUCGUCCCGUGAUUACCGGUUCCUCGUGCCGUGACUGCGGCCGCUGUGGCGAGCCGUGCAAGAAAAAGGAGCAAAGAACGACGCCAGGAUAUUGCCGUGCGCUGCCACCGUUCCGUGAGACAGUGUUAAAGUGCGGAAAGUUUCCGGUGUCGUUUCCGUGAAACUGCGCUGGGUCGCGGUUGUGUUUUGUGUUUUUCCGAGUGUGCAUUGCUGCAGUGACCACUGGGGAUUGCGCGUGGAAAUUGCGUUGCCGCGGGCAUGUUAGUGUGGAGCGACGCGCCGGUGGACAUCAUAGGGUUCGUGAGAGCCCUCCGAAACUGUGGUUGCCACCGCUGGAAAUGACUUGUACGUUCGUCGUAGUCGAGUCCACUUUCUAGGACGUCCCACAAGGUGUAUCCCGAGGGAAGGUGUUCGUAGCUGGUAGAGGGCGCACAUAGGAACCAGCCAUUCCUGAGGGGGGCAAGUCACGUGCGCCGGCCGCCGACAGCCGGCCCCAAGGUGAGUAGCUCGCCUCCACAACAUCAACCCCAAAACAAAUUGUUU
This is a long non-coding RNA of Dermacentor silvarum, 1169 nucleotides long. RefSeq lists it as uncharacterized. Lineage: Eukaryota; Metazoa; Arthropoda; Arachnida; Ixodida; Ixodidae. The record is from RefSeq and is a predicted model, not a curated record. The transcript has 3 exons.